AGUGAGUAGAGCGGCGCACGGGUGAGUAACGCGUGGAUAAUCUGCCCUGAAGAUCGGGAUAACAGUUGGAAACGACUGCUAAUACCGUAUAAUCUGCAUAUUUAACUUUAUGUGGGAAAGGUGGCCUCUAUUUAUAAGCUACCGCUUUUGGAUGAGUCCGCGUCUCAUUAGCUUGUUGGUGGGGUAAUGGCCUACCAAGGCAACGAUGAGUAGCUGGUCUGAGAGGAUGAUCAGCCACACUGGGACUGAAACACGGCCCAGACUCCUACGGGAGGCAGCAGUGGGGAAUAUUGCGCAAUGGGGGAAACCCUGACGCAGCGACGCCGCGUGUAGGAAGAAGGCCUUCGGGUCGUAAACUACUGUCAAGAGGGAAGAAACUGUUAGGCAUUAAUACGGCCUUUCACUGACGGUACCUCUAGAGGAAGCACCGGCUAACUCCGUGCCAGCAGCCGCGGUAAUACGGAGGGUGCGAGCGUUAAUCGGAAUCACUGGGCGUAAAGCGUGCGUAGGCGGCGCUUCAAGUCAGGCGUGAAAGCCCUCGGCUCAACCGAGGAAUUGCGUUUGAAACUGGAGUGCUAGAGUCUCGGAGAGGUUGGCGGAAUUCCAGGUGUAGGAGUGAAAUCCGUAGAUAUCUGGAGGAACACCGGUGGCGAAGGCGGCCAACUGGACGAGUACUGACGCUGAGGUACGAAAGCGUGGGUAGCAAACAGGAUUAGAUACCCUGGUAGUCCACGCUGUAAACGAUGGAUAUUAGGUGUCGGGUUUUCAAUUCGGUGCCGCAGUUAACGCGUUAAAUAUCCCGCCUGGGGAGUACGGUCGCAAGGCUGAAACUC
Molecule: ribosomal RNA, 833 nt
Filed under: delta proteobacterium FM1B-F2
Lineage: Bacteria; Deltaproteobacteria
Description: bacterial SSU rRNA
Rfam family: Bacterial small subunit ribosomal RNA
Source: RNAcentral